This 467-nucleotide ribosomal RNA is filed under the name uncultured bacterium. RNAcentral describes it as "bacterial SSU rRNA". It matches the Rfam family "Bacterial small subunit ribosomal RNA", at positions 330 to 795 of the family's 1533-position model. The record is from RNAcentral.
UCCAGACUCCUACGGGAGGCAGCAGUGAGGAAUAUUGGUCAAUGGGCGGGAGCCUGAACCAGCCAUGCCGCGUGAAGGCGAGUGCCCUACGGGCGUUAAACUUCUUUUGUGCGGGAGCAAUAAGGGCCACGUGUGGCCCGAUGAGAGUACCGCACGAAUAAGCAUCGGCUAACUCCGUGCCAGCAGCCGCGGUAAUACGGGGGAUGCGAGCGUUAUCCGGAUUUAUUGGGUUUAAAGGGUGCGUAGGCGGCGCUUCAGGUCAGCGGUGAAAUACCGGGGCUCAACCCCGGGGCUGCCGUUGAAACCGGAGCGCUAGAAUUCCGAUGCCGUCGGAGGAAUGUGUGGUGUAGCGGUGAAAUGCAUAGAUAUCGCGCAGAACCCCGAUUGCGAAGGCAGCGUGCCGUGCCGCCACUGACGCUGAGGCACGAAAGCGCGGGGAUCGAACAGGAUUAGAUACCCCGGUAAAA